GUCCACGCCGUAAACGAUGUGCACUAGACUGGUGCGGUUUUGACGCCGUAUCAGUCGCAGUAAAAACGAUAAGUGCACCGCCUGGGGAGUACGGUCGCAAGGCUAAAACUCAAAUGAAUUGACGGGGGCUCACACAAGCGGUGGAGCAUGUUGCUUAAUUCGAGGCAACGCGAAGAACCUUACCUGGGCUUGACAUGUACGGAUUAACCCCUUGAAAGAGGGGCCACAGUCGCAAGACCGGAACGUGCACAGGUGCUGCAUGGCUGUCGU
This 270-nucleotide ribosomal RNA is filed under the name uncultured bacterium. Its description in RNAcentral is "partial 16S ribosomal RNA". It matches the Rfam family "Bacterial small subunit ribosomal RNA", at positions 793 to 1055 of the family's 1533-position model. The record is from RNAcentral.